AUUCUUCAUAUUAUAAGAGUUCGAACGGUGAUAAAUGUUAUAAUUUAAGGUUUAUUUCACAAAUGGUGAUAAACCAUUUCAUUAAGAUACAUCAUUUGUCAUCAGCGCAGCUCGAAAGAUAAACGUGACCAAAAGACACAACGCAAUGUCGUAUAAAGGCGACACAAUGUUAUACAUACUACAGCUGUCUGCAAAAAUAUGUCUGCUCAUAAUAGUACGAACAUUUCGAUGAGAUGGUUGCAUUCGUUUUACUUUGUUUAAAAGAUGUCUUGAUAAAAGCAGUUAAUAAAGAUAUAUUUCUAUAUUGUGUUGAAUAACAGGCGACAUGUUAAGAAGUUUGUUUUGAAAGCAUAGUGUGAACAUUUUGGAAUAUAAUAUAUCAGUCAUUGAAAUAUAUGUCACAGAUAUAUGUGAUUCGUUAAAAGUAAAAAAUAAAAAGCAAGAUAAGAACAAAUAUUGGAGGAAUUACAAUGUUCUUCACGCUCCUCGUUCCAUGUUUGGUUGUCUGCAAUAUCGUCUGUUCCGUUGUACUAUUCCAUGUCCUUGGCGCUAUCGAUCGUUGCCAUGGUGACGUUUCUGUUGCGUCAUCCGUACCACUUGUUGACAUCAGCAGAUUAUAGACAGCUAAUUCUACUCGGCGUCUGUGUGGGAUGUUCGUUCGUGAACAGCUUCUUCCUGACGUCCAAGCUCGUCACCUCGAUGAUCCACAUGUUCGAACUCGAGAAGGCUUCCGGUGUUGCGUCCGUGGUCGGUUAUUGUGACCGGAAGGAGCUGAAGAAGGAUUUGGUCUAUAGCCGCCACUACAAGACGUAUAAGCCACAGCGUUGCAGGUCUUGGAAAUCUCGCCACUCUUGUGUCUAAUCUUCUAUACAUGUAUCAGAUAGCCUGCAACUAUUUGGACUUGCAGAGAAGAACUUUAUGUGAUAUAUAACAUCAAUACUCCAAAACCGUUUAAAAUACAUAUAUAGUACGAUUUUAUCCAGAUUGUGAUCACAUUCAUCGGGAUGUAAAACUAUCAAAAAGGGUGAUACAUGUCAUAAUUUUCGAAUAGGCACCAUUUGUGUCGUUAUGGUGGACAGAGUUGUUGUAUACAGUAUUCCAAUAAUUGUCGUUCUUUA
Molecule: long non-coding RNA, 1118 nt
Organism: Dreissena polymorpha
Lineage: Eukaryota; Metazoa; Mollusca; Bivalvia; Myida; Dreissenidae
Exons: 3
Source: RefSeq, a predicted model, not a curated record